AUGCGCCGAUCCCUCUUUGUGGAAAUUGUUCAAGCUUGCGAGGCGAAUUGUCGGUAUUUUACUCAAAGAAGAAAUGUUGCGGGCUUAAAGGGAUUUAGUGCAUAUCAAAAAAUCUCCGCAGCUAUGCGGGUGAUUGCAUAUAGCAUUCCGGCUGACUAUGCCGAUGAGUACCUUCACAAUGGUGAAGAUACCACAAUUGAGUCGGUGCGUAGAUUUGCCAAAGUGAUCAUCUAUGUCUUUGAUCCUGAAUAUCUUCAGGCACCCAACAAGGAUGACACAAAGAAACUGAUGGCAUCUAAUGAGAGGAGAGGUUGGCAAUAA
This 321-nucleotide ribosomal RNA is filed under the name Triticum aestivum (bread wheat). RNAcentral's name for it is "partial small subunit ribosomal RNA". Lineage: Eukaryota; Viridiplantae; Streptophyta; Magnoliopsida; Poales; Poaceae. The record is from RNAcentral.